This 372-nucleotide ribosomal RNA is filed under the name uncultured bacterium. RNAcentral's name for it is "bacterial SSU rRNA". It matches the Rfam family "Bacterial small subunit ribosomal RNA", at positions 525 to 896 of the family's 1533-position model. The record is from RNAcentral.
ACAGAGGGUGCGAGCGUUAAUCGGAAUUACUGGGCGUAAAGCGCACGUAGGUGGCUUGGCAAGUCGGUUGUGAAAGCCCCGGGCUCAACCUGGGAACUGCAUCCGAGACUGCUUUGCUAGAGUAUGGGAGAGGGAAGUGGAAUUUCCGGUGUAGCGGUGAAAUGCGUAGAUAUCGGAAGGAACAUCAGUGGCGAAGGCGACUUCCUGGACCAAUACUGACACUCAAGUGCGAAAGCGUGGGGAGCAAACAGGAUUAGAUACCCUGGUAGUCCACGCCAUAAACGAUGAGAACUGGAUGUCGGGAGGGUCUGCCUCUCGGUGUCGUAGCUAACGCGUUAAGUUCUCCGCCUGGGGAGUACGGCCGCAAGGUUG